This 761-nucleotide small RNA is filed under the name uncultured fungus. RNAcentral describes it as "eukaryotic LSU rRNA". The stretch from base 207 to 361 matches the Rfam family "5.8S ribosomal RNA". Lineage: Eukaryota; Fungi. The record is from RNAcentral.
GAUCAUUACUGAAUUGUCAAACGGGUUGUUGCUGGCCCUCAUAGGGGGCAUGUGCACGCUCUGUUUACACAUCCACUCACACCUGUGCACCCUCUGUAGUUCUAUGGUCUGGGGGACCCUGUCUUCCUUCUGUGGUUCUACGUCUUUACACACACACUGUAAUAAAGUUUUAUGGAAUGUACAUCGCGUCUAACGCAAUACAAUACAACUUUCAGCAACGGAUCUCUUGGCUCUCGCAUCGAUGAAGAACGCAGCGAAAUGCGAUAAGUAAUGUGAAUUGCAGAAUUCAGUGAAUCAUCGAAUCUUUGAACGCACCUUGCGCCCCUUGGCUAUUCCGAGGGGCAUGCCUGUUUGAGUAUCAUGAACACCUCAACUCUCAUGGUUUGCCAUGAUGAGUUGGACUCUGGGGGUUUUGCUGGCCUGUGGUCGGCUCCUCUCAAAUUAAUCAGCCUCCCAGUGUUUGGUGGCAUCACGGGUGUGAUAAAUAUCUACGCUCGCUGUUGUCUGCCAGGUAACCUUUGGUCACAAAGGUUUGCUGGAGCUCACAGAUGUCUCUCCUCAGCGAGGACAGCUUUUUUAACGUUCGAUCUCAAAUCAGGUAGGACUACCCGCUGAACUUAAGCAUAUCAAUAAGCGGAGGAAAAGAAACUAACAAGGAUUCCCCUAGUAACUGCGAGUGAAGCGGGAAAAGCUCAAAUUUAAAAUCUGGCGUGCCUCUGGUCGUCCGAGUUGUAGUUUAGAGAAGCGUUUUCUGUGCUGGA